GACCUCGGAUCAGGCAGGACCACCCGCUGAACUUAAGCAUAUCAAUA
RNAcentral lists this ribosomal RNA (47 nucleotides) under Gibellula pulchra. Its description in RNAcentral is "Torrubiella arachnophilus partial 28S ribosomal RNA". Lineage: Eukaryota; Fungi; Ascomycota; Sordariomycetes; Hypocreales; Cordycipitaceae. The record is from RNAcentral.